RNAcentral lists this long non-coding RNA (1508 nucleotides) under Salmo salar (Atlantic salmon). RNAcentral's name for it is "lncRNA (ENSSSAG00000090323.1, ENSSSAG00000095436.1, ENSSSAG00075027720.1)". Lineage: Eukaryota; Metazoa; Chordata; Actinopteri; Salmoniformes; Salmonidae. The record is from RNAcentral.
UGAUUUCAAAACUCGGUCCUCCAGAAAGUGGAGAGCAACACUUAUGUAGUUCAACUACGUGAUAUCGUUCAAAAAAGCUGCGUUGGAAAGGUUUACCUACACAUACUGACCAGAUCAUGUUAUAGAUAGAAGCAUGCUACAUUGCAGACCAAUCCGAAUUCAUCUCUCGGCAUGUCCAGCCCACUCAUUAUCUCAGCCAAUCAUGGCUAGCGGGAAGGUUGCUGCCUUUUUCUGUGGCUAAACCAACUAGGCUCGUAAUUUAACAAUUGUAUUUAUAUUUACAGGUGGCAUACGAGUUUGUUAUUACAGUUUUUUACAAUCGCUUAGACACUAAAAGUGGUACUUGAGGCACACUCAGUGAAACCAUUAACUCAUGUACCUAAUCUCCAGACCACGUCUGCAAAACUGCAAGCACAUUAUCUGCUUUACACUCAGUUUGCAAUUGUAAAACACACUUUCUGCAAAACACUAAACACAGGUCUCUACAUUAGACACAUCAUUCAAAACUAACAGGUCUUGUGUUUCAUUUGGAAAUACUGCCAUUCCAAAUGCCGCACUCAUUUACCGAUUACCUACACCCAGUGCUCACAUGUGAAAACACUUAACUAAUUUCUUCACUUAGAAAUCAGAGCUUGAGCACUGUAAAUAGGCUUCAGGUUGGUUUUCUUGGUUUGGACAACAAAUGGAGGCCAAUUUUGGAGAGUUAGAGGAAGAGGAGUGAGAGUAAGAGGAGGAUGAGGACAAUGAGGAGGACAAAGUGUCACACCCUGAUCUGUUUCACCUGUCUUUGUGAUUGUCUCCACCCCCCUCCAGGUGUCGCCCAUCUUCCCCAUUAUCCCCUGUGUAUUUAUACCUGUGUUCUCUGUUUUUCUGUUGCCAGUUCUUCUUGUUUGUCAAGUCAACCAACAUUUUGUAUCAGCAUGCUUUCCGCAGUAUCUCUUUUCUCAUCCCCCUGGUUUUUGACCCUUGCCUGUCCUGAACCUGCCCCUGAGCCUGCCUGCCGUCCUGUACCUUUGCCCCACCUCUGGAUUACCAACCUCUGCCUGACCUGAGCCUGCCUGCUGUCCUGUACCUUUGUCCCUGUUGCUGUAAUAAACAUUGUUACUUCGACAUGGUCUGCAUCUGGGUCUUACCUUUAUCCUGAUAGGAAGAGGACGAGGAGUGGGACAAGGAAGAGGAGGAAGGAGAACAAUCACAGAUGAGAUCCGGGCCACUUUGGUUGACCAUGUGGUCAUCCAUGGUUUGAGUUUCAGGGAGGCUGGGCACAGGGUCCAGCCUAACUUGAGCCGCUACACUGCAGCAAGUGCCAUCUGGACAUUUCGAAAUGAGAACAGUGAAGGUUCUCGAGUGGUGCAGUGGUCUAAGGCACUGAAAUGAAGUGCUAAAGACAUCACUACAGACCCUGGUUCGAUCCCAGGCUGUAUCACAACCGGCUGUGAUUGGGAGUCCCAUAGGGCGGUGCACAAUUGGCCCAGCGUCGUCCGGGUUAGGGGAGGGUUUGGCCCGGG